GGAUGAACGCUAGCUACAGGCUUAACACAUGCAAGUCGAGGGGCAGCAUGGUCUUAGCUUGCUAAGGCCGAUGGCGACCGGCGCACGGGUGAGUAACACGUAUCCAACCUGCCGUCUACUCUUGGACAGCCUUCUGAAAGGAAGAUUAAUACAAGAUGGCAUCAUGAGUCCACAUGUUCACAUGAUUAAAGGUAUUCCGGUAGACGAUGGGGAUGCGUUCCAUUAGAUAGUAGGCGGGGUAACGGCCCACCUAGUCUUCGAUGGAUAGGGGUUCUGAGAGGAAGGUCCCCCACAUUGGAACUGAGACACGGUCCAAACUCCUACGGGAGGCAGCAGUGAGGAAUAUUGGUCAAUGGGCGAGAGCCUGAACCAGCCAAGUAGCGUGAAGGAUGACUGCCCUAUGGGUUGUAAACUUCUUUUAUAAAGGAAUAAAGUCGGGUAUGGAUACCCGUUUGCAUGUACUUUAUGAAUAAGGAUCGGCUAACUCCGUGCCAGCAGCCGCGGUAAUACGGAGGAUCCGAGCGUUAUCCGGAUUUAUUGGGUUUAAAGGGAGCGUAGAUGGAUGUUUAAGUCAGUUGUGAAAGUUUGCGGCUCAACCGUAAAAUUGCAGUUGAUACUGGAUAUCUUGAGUGCAGUUGAGGCAGGCGGAAUUCGUGGUGUAGCGGUGAAAUGCUUAGAUAUCACGAAGAACUCCGAUUGCGAAGGCAGCCUGCCAAGCUGCAACUGACAUUGAGGCUCGAAAGUGUGGGUAUCAAACGGGAUUAGAUACCCUGGUAGUCCACACGGUAAACGAUGAAUACUCGCUGUUUGCGAUAUACAGCAAGCGGCCAAGCGAAAGCGUUAAGUAUUCCACCUGGGGAGUACGCCGGCAACGGUGAAACUCAAAGGAAUUGACGGGGGCCCGCACAAGCGGAGGAACAUGUGGUUUAAUUCGAUGAUACGCGAGGAACCUUACCCGGGCUUAAAUUGCAGAUGAAUUACGGUGAAAGCCGUAAGCCGCAAGGCAUCUGUGAAGGUGCUGCAUGGUUGUCGUCAGCUCGUGCCGUGAGGUGUCGGCUUAAGUGCCAUAACGAGCGCAACCCUUGUUGUCAGUUACUAACAGGUUCCGCUGAGGACUCUGACAAGACUGCCAUCGUAAGAUGUGAGGAAGGUGGGGAUGACGUCAAAUCAGCACGGCCCUUACGUCCGGGGCUACACACGUGUUACAAUGGGGGGUACAGAGGGCCGCUACCACGCGAGUGGAUGCCAAUCCCCAAAACCUCUCUCAGUUCGGACUGGGGUCUGCAACCCGACUCCACGAAGCUGGAUUCGCUAGUAAUCGCGCAUCAGCCACGGCGCGGUGAAUACGUUCCCGGGCCUUGUACACACCGCCCGUCAAGCCAUGGGAGCCGGGGGUACCUGAAGUGCGUAACCGCGAGGAGCGCCCUAGGGUAAAACUGG
Molecule: ribosomal RNA, 1440 nt
Filed under: uncultured bacterium
Lineage: Bacteria
Description: 16S ribosomal RNA
Rfam family: Bacterial small subunit ribosomal RNA
Source: RNAcentral